AACGAACGCUGGCGGCAUGCCUAACACAUGCAAGUCGAACGAGACCUUCGGGUCUAGUGGCGCACGGGUGCGUAACGCGUGGGUACCUGCCCUUAGGUUCGGAAUAACUCCCCGAAAGGGGUGCUAAUACCGGAUAAUGUCUUCGGACCAAAGAUUUAUCGCCUUUGGAUGGGCCCGCGUUGGAUUAGCUAGUUGGUAGGGUAAAAGCCUACCAAGGCGACGAUCCAUAGCUGGUCUGAGAGGAUGAUCAGCCACACUGGGACUGAGACACGGCCCAGACUCCUACGGGAGGCAGCAGUGGGGAAUAUUGGACAAUGGGCGAAAGCCUGAUCCAGCAAUGCCGCGUGAGUGAUGAAGGCCUUAGGGUUGUAAAGCUCUUUUACCCGGGAUGAUAAUGACAGUACCGGGAGAAUAAGCUCCGGCUAACUCCGU
This 432-nucleotide ribosomal RNA is filed under the name uncultured bacterium. Its description in RNAcentral is "partial 16S ribosomal RNA". It matches the Rfam family "Bacterial small subunit ribosomal RNA", at positions 29 to 506 of the family's 1533-position model. The record is from RNAcentral.